GGCAGCCGACCGGCUGGAACCAACCUCAUCCUCUGGGCUUGGACUGAACUUUAAGACCAGAUGAAUUUUUGGCUGUGUACCGAACUUGGAACUGAUUCCUAACACCAUCCUGAUUUUCCCUUCGGAACCUCUUCGGACCUCUGAUCUCCUAGUUUUGGCUCCUGAGCAUGACACCAGCUUUGGCCUCACUCUACAGAGGACCAAGCCUAAAUCUCAGGAACUAAAUUUGCAGAUAAAUGGAGCCAGAAUCCACAUCUGGCACUCCCUGGGCGGCACUCGCUGUGUCUUGUUGGCAGUCGACCGGCUGGAAUCAACUUCAUCCUCUGGGCUUGGACUGAAC
This is a long non-coding RNA of Cyprinodon tularosa, 340 nucleotides long. RefSeq lists it as uncharacterized. The record is from RefSeq and is a predicted model, not a curated record. The transcript is spliced from 4 exons. NCBI's taxonomy places the organism in Eukaryota, Metazoa, Chordata, Actinopteri, Cyprinodontiformes, Cyprinodontidae.